Molecule: non-coding RNA, 342 nt
Organism: Maylandia zebra (zebra mbuna)
Lineage: Eukaryota; Metazoa; Chordata; Actinopteri; Cichliformes; Cichlidae
Source: RefSeq, a predicted model, not a curated record
UGUAACUGUCUUUUUUAAAAAAAGGAAUCUUGCAGUGAAGAUCAUUCCCGGGCAGUGGUCAGAAAAAAAGAGCUUUGACUUGAAGGGUUUUCCAAGCCAAGACUAUGGAGUUGACUGUGGGAUCUUCAUGCUGAUGUCUGCUCUGUACGUGGCACUGGAUGCUUCAUUUGACUAUACUAUAUCAGACAUGCCCUACUUGCGUAAAUGGUGGUGCUUGCUGUUGAUGGAGAACUUUGAUCCCAGGAGCUCUGGCAAGCUAUUUGCACACUGGAGAGAGGAAGCCAAAGCUGUGCUUGAAGGACAACACGUGCCCAUUUUCAGACUGAAAAAGCGCAAGUUCCA